UAUGGCAUUUAUGCUCUUAAUAAAAAGGUGUUUUUCCUUAAAUCAUGUUUUUCAGAUGUCAGGGAAUUCUGGCUUAAAAAAUGCAUGCAGGGCGCUAAUCAAUCGCUGGCUCCGCCCCUCAUGUUGACUACCAGCUUACGAGCACUUCGUUCAGUACCCGUCCAAUGAAGCGGAGCGCCGUGCGCCCCUCUGCUCACACAAAGCUCUCACAGCCGUUACCGCGGAACAGGUCACAGGUCACAGGGCCGCAGAUACAGGUCACAGGUCACAGGGCCGCGGAUACAGGUCGAAGGUCACAGGGCCACGGAUACAGGUCACAGGUCACAGGGCCGCGGAUACAGGUCACAGGUCACAGGGCCGCGGAUACAGGUCGAAGGUCACAGGGCCACGGAUACAGGUCACAGGUCACAGGGCCACGGAUACAGGUCACAGGGCCACGGAUACAGGUCACAGGGCAGCGGAUACAGGUCACAGGUCACAGGGCCGCAGAUACAGGUCACAGGGUCACAGGUCACAGGGCCACGUUGUCGCUUGUGGACGCUGUUAGCUGCAAGCGGACAUCUUUGCGUUGGAGGCUGAGUGUGCAGCCUGUGUGCUGCAGCGAUAGGGGACCAAUCGCACGCCGCUCAUUUUAUUGACCAGCGCCUGAACGCACCACCUGAAUAUUUUUUUCUCAUCGGAGCAUCGGAGUAUUUGGUUAAUAACGUGAACACUGUUGUAAACGAGGACCUGCAGAUGAGUUUAGAAGACAACACAAUGACCUACGAGGCCGGACUGAGGGAGACGUCCUCUGCUGACGUCCUACCUGUCCUGUCUCACCUCCUCCUCCUCUUCUGUAUUCUGACUUCCAACAUCCACACUGAUCCUCCGCUCGGCCUGGUGGCCCGUCAGCUCAACGGGGGAGGGGCUCUUCAGGUGUGUGUGUGUGUGUGUGUGUGUGUGUGUGCGUGUGCGUGCGUGUGUGUAUGCGUGUGCGUGUGUGUGCGGGUUGUGGUGACUGCAGGCUGCUAGUAAUUGAAAAGCCAGAACGCCAGCAACCGUGACCCCUGUGACCUCCUAUUGAGAGAACAACCAUUGAUUUCUGCACAGAGGGAGCAAGUGCUAAAGAAAAGGAUACAUUAUAGGAAAGGAACAGAGCAAGAAGAAGGAAAGAGGGAAGCUGAAUACAAAGGAAGCAUUAGAGGUAAACUGGGAAGUACGAAGGACUGGGAAAGAUUUCAGACAAAGGAAUGAAUCAGGAGGCUGUCAGAGAGGCGAAGUAUAGAACAUGUGGGAUAAAAAAGUACAGGAGGGAUGAUAGAUGAGGAGGGAGAAAAAGAAUAAACAAUAAUUAAAAAGCUUGAUGUAAAAUAAACCGCAGGAUAGAAAGGAGGAAGCAAAGGGAAGAUCUGGGCAUGCAUGCUAACUAAAGCCUAGUUUAUGCUUCUGCAUUUUCAGAGCGAA
Gasterosteus aculeatus aculeatus (three-spined stickleback) is the source of this 1443-nucleotide long non-coding RNA. The record is from Ensembl. Lineage: Eukaryota; Metazoa; Chordata; Actinopteri; Perciformes; Gasterosteidae.